CAAAAAGACAAAAAGGAACCAAGAGUUCUAGUUUUUUCUGUGUCUUUUUGUCUCAGACCAACACAGCUACCAAGUACUCUCCUCAAGUUAAGCUUUUACAACCUUUCUUUGAAGAACUAAAUAAAAGUCACUUUUUUUCUUUUAAAAGGUAACCAGUGAAGGAGCUACCUUCUUUUAUACAGUAGACCAAGAGGUCAGAGUGCUCAUCCAGGCAGCGAUAGGCAAAGGCCCUAUGACUGAAGGGCUUCAAACCCACUUCUCCCACCUCAGACGGCCCUAACCAUUAGAGUGUACUGAGAUGGGUGGACAUUUUCAAUCUCACUUGCAAAAUCUGUGCCCCUGCAGGAAAUAAUUAAUGAUUGGAGCCAGAAGGAAAAUACAAGAAGGAGUAUGACUCUGAUUAAGGUAGUCACCUGGAAGGAAGGUGGAGGAACUGAAGUGCAAAAAGAUAUCUAUUGCACUGGCAAUAUCUCCACGCUCCUGAAAUGUUCAGAAAUGUGGUCCGGCUAGAGCACUGGAUAGAAUUUGGAAGACAUAGCUUCUUUUUCCAGCUCUUCCCAUUGGGCUGCUAGAUGACAGUGGGUCUGAGGAAGAGCUACACUGGUUGAUUAUUGCAGGAAUGAAAGGCACUCUGACCUUGUCGACCAAACGCCUUGCUGCUUUCAAUGUUGC
Molecule: long non-coding RNA, 672 nt
Organism: Alligator mississippiensis (American alligator)
Lineage: Eukaryota; Metazoa; Chordata; Crocodylia; Alligatoridae
Exons: 4
Source: RefSeq, a predicted model, not a curated record